GCGAGUCAUUGUAGUAAUACAGGCAGACGGCUCAGUAACGCGUACUCACCUAACCUAUGGACGGGAAUAACCUCGGGAAACUGAGCAUAAUGCCCGAUAGAACAUUAUGCCUGGAAUGGUUUAUGUUCCAAAUGAUUUAUCGCCGUAGGAUGGGACUGCGGCCUAUCAGUUUGUUGGUGAGGUAAUGGCCCACCAAGACUAUUACAGGUACGGGCUCUGAGAGGAGUAGCCCGGAGAUGGGUACUGAGACACGGACCCAGGCCCUAUGGGGCGCAGCAGGCGAGAAAACUUUGCAAUGUGCGAAAGCACGACAAGGUUAAUCCGAGUGGUUUCUGCUAAAGGAACCUUUUGUCGAUCCUAGAAACACCGAUGAAUAAGGGGUGGGCAAGUUCUGGUGUCAGCCGCCGCGGUAAAACCAGCACCUCAAGUGGUCAGGAUGAUUAUUGGGCCUAAAGCAUCCGUAGCCGGCUCUGUUAGUUUUCGGUUAAAUCUGUACGCUCAACGUACAGGCUGC
This 514-nucleotide ribosomal RNA is filed under the name uncultured crenarchaeote. RNAcentral's name for it is "bacterial SSU rRNA". It matches the Rfam family "Archaeal small subunit ribosomal RNA", at positions 53 to 575 of the family's 1478-position model. The record is from RNAcentral. Lineage: Archaea; Thermoproteati; Thermoproteota.